RNAcentral lists this long non-coding RNA (464 nucleotides) under Pan troglodytes (chimpanzee). RNAcentral's name for it is "long non-coding RNA NONPTRT010135". The record is from RNAcentral. Lineage: Eukaryota; Metazoa; Chordata; Mammalia; Primates; Hominidae.
UUUGCAGCCCCCAGAACAAGGACCCCAGAGACAGAGUGAGAGAGGGCAAGAGAAGGCAAGAUGCAAGUCACACUCUUUUUGUAACCUAAUCCCAUCACAUUUCCUGAAUUCUGCUCAUUAGAAAGAAGUCACUAGAUUCAGCCCACAUUCAAGAUGAGAAAUACCAGAAGACAGAGAACACUGAGGCUGUUUUAGAGGCUGUCAACCCCAGGGAGACAGACAGCAAAUAAGUAAGCAAAUAAAUAAAAAUGGAAGGUGAUAAUAAGUGCAAUGAAAAGAAAUGAAGCAGAGUAAAGAAUCAAGAGUAGCAGUUGAGGGGCAAACAUGGAGGAACAGAGUUUGGAGCAAUACCCUGACUUACAUUCAGUACUGUUAAUGGCUCCAGCAUCUUGAAACAAACCAAUUUUGGAUUUUCAGUGAAAAAGAAAGCCAACCCAGAAAAUCACUUAGGAAGAUCCAGACAA